Molecule: long non-coding RNA, 572 nt
Organism: Sapajus apella (tufted capuchin)
Lineage: Eukaryota; Metazoa; Chordata; Mammalia; Primates; Cebidae
Exons: 2
Source: RefSeq, a predicted model, not a curated record
GUGAACUGAGAUUGCGCCACUGCACUCCAGCAUAGGCGACAAAGUGAGACUCCAUCCCGAAAAAUAGAAAAAAAAGAUGGCAAUUUGGAAACACUUUGUGUUUUCAUUAUAAGCAGGAAGUUCAGUGGAGGGCAACAACUAAAAAACAGUAAUUUCAGAUUUUCAAAAAUGUUUAGAAGGACUAUAUAAUUAUUUGAUCAGAAAAGAACUGGUUUCUGUCUGUGACUGUCUUAAAUAUUUCAGGUAGUUUGUUAUUCUCUUAGGAGUUAUGAAUUAUAUUAGGUUAAGUGAUGGGGCCAGAUUUACAGAAUGUUUCAGAUAAUUUUUGUGAGGUUACUUAUACCACUGGUUGGAGGGCAUAAGUACUCUUUGCUAGACAUAGGAAAUAUGAAAAGACAUAAAAUAAAGUGAUGGAAACAGUAUAGUGUUUCAAGAGUGAAGUAGGAAGACUCUUAAGUGAAGAAAUUAAGUUUUUUAAAUGUUGGAUUAAUGUAGGGUGAUCAUACUUCCCACUUAGGAUAGUUUGACUUCUGCUGUUCUGCUGUAAUUAUUAAUGGUGACGUCUUUCAUUU